Molecule: ribosomal RNA, 538 nt
Filed under: uncultured bacterium
Lineage: Bacteria
Description: bacterial SSU rRNA
Rfam family: Bacterial small subunit ribosomal RNA
Source: RNAcentral
UGAGGAGUAUUGGUCAAUGGACGGAAGUCUGAACCAGCCAAGUAGCGUGCAGGAUGACGGCCCUAUGGGUUGUAAACUGCUUUUGUAUGGGGAUAAAGUUAGGGACGUGUCCCUAUUUGCAGGUACCAUACGAAUAAGGACCGGCUAAUUCCGUGCCAGCAGCCGCGGUAAUACGGAAGGUCCAGGCGUUAUCCGGAUUUAUUGGGUUUAAAGGGAGCGUAGGCUGGAGAUUAAGUGUGUUGUGAAAUGUAGACGCUCAACGUCUGAAUUGCAGCGCAUACUGGUUUCCUUGAGUACGCACAACGUUGGCGGAAUUCGUCGUGUAGCGGUGAAAUGCUUAGAUAUGACGAAGAACUCCGAUUGCGAAGGCAGCUGACGGGAGCGCAACUGACGCUUAAGCUCGAAGGUGCGGGUAUCAAACAGGAUUAGAUACCCUGGUAGUCCGCACAGUAAACGAUGGAUGCCCGCUGUUGGUACCUGGUAUCAGCGGCUAAGCGAAAGCAUUAAGCAUCCCACCUGGGGAGUACGCCGGCNCGGU